UACGUAGGGGGGCUAGCGUUGUCCGGAUUUAUUGGGCGUAAAGAGCGUGUAGGCGGCCAGGUAGGUCUGGUGUGAAAACUCGAGGCUUAACCUCGAGAUGUCAUCGGAAACCAUCUGGCUAGAGUCCGGAAGAGGAGAGUGGAAUUCCUGGUGUAGCGGUGAAAUGCGUAGAUAUCGGGAGGAAUACCAGUGGCGAAGGCGGCCUUCUGGACGGAUACUGACGCUGAGGCGCGAAAGCCAGGGGAGCAAACGGG
Molecule: ribosomal RNA, 254 nt
Filed under: uncultured bacterium
Lineage: Bacteria
Description: partial 16S ribosomal RNA
Rfam family: Bacterial small subunit ribosomal RNA
Source: RNAcentral